GGCGCUGCGCUCAGCCUGGGCAGCCGGCUCGCUCACUGCUCUUCCUCGGCGGAGGCCGAGCCGCUCCGGGCAGUUUAAAACCCGGUCAAAGCAGGCUGUCGUCUUGGCGCUGUCACCGACUGGCUUCGUGAACCCCGGAGCUCUUCUAGGCUUCCUUUGGCUAAGGUGGAUAUCGUCGUGAACGAGGGGCUGCCACGUCUCACGUCUCCACGGUUCUUCUCUUUGGAGGCUGCGCACUCGCAACCUGCAGGACCUAGCACUUCUUACGACCGCUUCAGGGCGCAGCUUGAAUCCAAAUCAUCACUCCGAAGACAAGGCAAACAUUUUAAGGGGCCACCUGUUCCAGUGCAGUGAGGUCCAGCGUGCCAGGCAGAGCACCCGCACUCAGAGCACACAUGGACGUCGGUUAAAAAUCUCCAUUCAUGCUGGCCAGCGCUGCAGGGAGGCUGAAGCAGGAGGAUCCCAAGUCCAAGCCCAACCUGGAACAUUUAGCAACUUAGUGCCUC
This 506-nucleotide long non-coding RNA is filed under the name Fukomys damarensis (Damara mole-rat). RNAcentral describes it as "lncRNA (ENSFDAG00000030172.1)". Lineage: Eukaryota; Metazoa; Chordata; Mammalia; Rodentia; Bathyergidae. The record is from RNAcentral.